GGUCUAUCGUGUUGGGAUAUCAAAAGAAAUUGUAACGCUUCUCUACCGUGUAUUCCAAGUCUGUAUUGGCUGCAAAUCCGAUAAAUAUAUCUGAAGAGGGAAAAAUGGGAGCUUCCAUUCAUAGAUCAUCGAGAGACAGAGGCAUAGGAGGAAAAUCAAAUCUCCAUACUUAAAGCCUUCCUUUGGUAUGUUUGGUUAUGGAGGGCCUAUUGCAUCUAUGCAUUUAGGCACGUAUGUCUUGCUAAAGUUUAGAAUGACUUCAUUUUAGACAAAAAAACAAGGACUUACUUCUUUUCAUGCUCUGCCUUUUCUGUAGAAGAGCCUCUGUUUCAUCAAAAACAAAGGAGUGUAACAUUGUGUGUGUGUAUAUAUAUGAACUGAGUACUAUUAUCCAUGUGGGGGUCCGGGUAUUGUGAUUUUGAAAUUAUAACUUGUUGCUUCAAGCAUCAUUUUCCGUUUCUUUUGCUUAUUACCUAUUCCAUUUGUACUCCAGCUAUUGUAAUACCCCUUAGAACAGGCCUUUCUGUAUUACACAGUUCACACUUCUUUUCUCUUUUUGGAUUUUGCUGAGUGUAUGCUACUACAAAUUUCCUAUUGUUAGUAUAUGAACUUUGCAGGUAUCGAAUUUACUUGACCUUGUCAAACUUUGGUCUCUCCCCAACUGAUUGGCACUGAGGAAUAAUAGUAGUUGUUAUUGUUCAAACUUUGAGAAUUCAUUUCCAGAAUUUAAUGUCAAUAGUCAUUGUGAUAACUAUUAUUUUAGUUAGAUGACAAUCAUUAGAGAGCUGGAAGGUCACAUAAAAUGGUUUGUGGAUCAACAAACAUUGUAGCUGAUGAUGGUACCACAGUCUGGUGCAUGUGGUGAUUGAUGAUUGUGAUGAAGUAUCAAAAACAGGAAAAACUGUGAUGCCUAUUGAAUUUCAGGUCAAUGACACUAAUUUAGCGGAAAUUGAAGGUGGAGAGGUUACUGUCCUGCAAUGGUCCAGAGUUUUUAAUGCAACUUAGCUUUCACGUAAAGGAUAGCAGUGAUUGAAAGUUUGUUCAGGAACAAAAUCCUCCUCCGGAGCACAUGCUCACCUGAGGUGUGUUUAUUUUCCGGUGGUGCAGGGUAGAGAGAGUAUUGAGGUGAUAUUGGAAAAGCUAGAGGCAGAUGGGUAUGGAAUUACCGAGAAUUUUGAAACUGUCCGUUGGUCGGGUCGUCUGCUUCCAGAUGCUCGUUGGGUAAGAUCAGAAUCUUUCUGUUAUUCAUAGUUUACAAAUUAUAAUUUACCAGUCUUGUAUUCCAUCACUACAGUCUGCCAAAUAAUACCUUCAUGAUAAUAUAUGUCCAAAAUUUGAAAGAAGGAACAUGUGUGCCUGUAAUUUACGUGUAUAUUGUGUUAUUCUCUGUUUUGUUUCUUUUUAUGGAACCAAAGCCAAGAAAAAGUGAUAGGGCUGAAGUCCUGAAGAGAUGCUGCUUUAGAGUAAAAUGCUUCAUAGGUAUAAAACCAUUUGUACAAAACAAGUGCUCUCUUAUUAAUGAAUAAGCAAUUGCUUCUUUUCUCCAAGCAUCACUGAGCAAUAUUCUGCUUGCAAAGACCGAUGCUGGUUUCAACCCAACACCGUCAAAGGUACAAGAUAGCUUUCCAAAAUUUCUGACGACUUGACUGAGGAUUUAAUUGCACGUCAGCACGUGUAUAUACAGAAACGCAUUUCCGGAAUGCAAAAUGAGAAUAUUUAUAUGCAUGUCUAUAUAUCAAGGCAGUAACUAUUCCAUGUGCAGUUAUUCCAGGACCAUUGCAGCAUAUCCCGCUGCAUCCUGUAGAUUUUGGCAAAAAUCAAUUGGCAUGCACCAAGGCACCAACACAAAUAAAGGGGCAUUAACUAAUCCGCGUGACUCGAGGUAUAAAAUUUAAAAACUUUUGUGUGUCUAUGUGCACAUACAAAACUAUACAAGUUACAUACCACAAUAGAUGGUACAACUAGAAUAACUCGUAUUUGGCUCAGAUCUCUUUGAAAAUAUCUAUAUUUUUUAAUUUUAGCUAAGCCCCAACAAUAAAUGUAUAAAGGAACCAUACCAUACCCAAUAACACCUUGAUUGGUCUUAGACCAGUUAUAUUGUGAUAGGUCAGAAAUACACCAUCGAGCAAUGGUUAUAGCAACUCGUGAGCUAGUUUCGAUUAGAGCACUAAAAUUUGGAGAAAUCGAUGUACCCCUGGUGAGAAAGGGAUUGGUCGAUUUUAUGACAGACUGUUGCAUUAAAUAAAAAGCAUUUCAAUGUUUUAUCCACGCCGCUCUUUCUUUGUAAAAUUUUCUUUUCCACUAGAUCCUAACAUCCACUUCCUCCCUUAUCAUGAUGUAUAUUGAUACAGUUGAAUAUCAUAAAAAUCUCUAACUAAGACCGUAGAUUCUCUGCUACCAUAAAUUAGCAGCCAAAGGAACAUCGAAAUUGAUGAAGAAUUGUAUCAGAGCUCAUGCAUGAUGGCUUUAUCGAUGCCCAUUAGCAUUAAUUAAGUAUUUUUUUGGUUUUGUAUCUCUUAUCGUGAAACUCUAGUGAUAGAAUGAGCAUCUUCAAUUGAGUAGAAAAGUCAUUAAUUCACUAAACAAUCGAAGGUAAUACAGAGGGGACAAUAGAGGGAUAAGGAGAACGUGCACCUUCUCAUUGUCCAUAGACAUUUUCCGUUGUUACCCAUUCAUCGUUGAAUCUCCGGAGAUAUCCAGAAGAGUGAGACUGGCGCCUUUGAGGGGAAGAGUGGAGAACAACAGUUUUGAUGGCAAAG
Molecule: long non-coding RNA, 2759 nt
Organism: Solanum pennellii
Lineage: Eukaryota; Viridiplantae; Streptophyta; Magnoliopsida; Solanales; Solanaceae
Exons: 9
Source: RefSeq, a predicted model, not a curated record